CCUACGGGAGGCAGCAGUGAGGAAUAUUGGUCAAUGGCCGAGAGGCUGAACCAGCCAAGUCGCGUGAGGGAAGACGGCCCUACGGGUUGUAAACCUCUUUUGUCGGGGAGCAAAGCGAGUCACGUGUGACUCAUUGAGAGUACCCGAAGAACAAGCAUCGGCUAACUCCGUGCCAGCAGCCGCGGUAAUCCGGGGGAUGCGAGGGUUAUCCGGAUUUAUGGGGUUUAAAGGGUGCGCAGGGGGGCUGUUAAGUCGGCGGUAAAAGCCCGGGGCUCAACCCCGGCGAGCCGUUGAAACUGGCUGGCUGGAGAGGAGGAGAGGUAGGCGGAAUGCGCAGUGUAGCGGUGAAAUGCUUAGAUAUUGCGCAGAACUCCGAUUGCGAAGGCAGCAUACCGGAGGCGAUCUGACGCUGAGGCACGAAAGCGUGGGUAUCGAACAGGAUUAGAUACCCCAGUAGUC
This 459-nucleotide ribosomal RNA is filed under the name uncultured bacterium. RNAcentral's name for it is "partial 16S ribosomal RNA". It matches the Rfam family "Bacterial small subunit ribosomal RNA", at positions 338 to 795 of the family's 1533-position model. The record is from RNAcentral.